CCUACGGGAGACAGCAGUGAGGAAUAUUGGUCAAUGGCCGGAAGGCUGAACCAGCCAUGCCGCGUGAAGGUCAGUGCCCUAUGGGCGUUAAACUUCUUUUGUGCGGGAGCAAUAAUGGUCACGUGUGGCCAGACGAGAGUACCGUACGAAUAAGCAUCGGCUAACUCCGUGCCAGCAGCCGCGGUAAUACGGGGGAUGCAAGCGUUAUCCGGAUUUAUUGGGUUUAAAGGGUGCGUAGGCUGUGAGGUAAGUCAGCGGUGAAAUGCCCCCGCUCAACGGGGUGAAGUGCCAUUGAUACUGGCUGGCUGGAAUGCGGAUGCGGUGGGAGGAAUGUGUGGUGUAGCGGUGAAAUGCAUAGAUAUCACACAGAACACCGAUUGCGAAGGCAUCUCACGAAUCCGCGAUUGACGCUGAUGCACGAAAGCGUGGGUAUCAAACAGGAUUAGAUACCCGGGUAGUC
Molecule: ribosomal RNA, 460 nt
Filed under: uncultured bacterium
Lineage: Bacteria
Description: partial 16S ribosomal RNA
Rfam family: Bacterial small subunit ribosomal RNA
Source: RNAcentral